GACGAACGCUGGCGGCGUGCUUAACACAUGCAAGUCGAACGGAAAGGCCUUUUCGGCGGUACUCGAGUGGCGAACGGGUGAGUAACACGUGGGUGAUCUGCCCUGCACUCUGGGAUAAGCCUGGGAAACUGGGUCUAAUACCGGAUAGGACCGCACUUUAGUGUGUGUGGUGGAAAGUUUUUUCGGUGUAGGAUGAGCCCGCGGCCUAUCAGCUUGUUGGUGGGGUAAUGGCCUACCAAGGCGGCGACGGGUAGCCGGACUGAGAGGUUGGUCGGCCACAUUGGGACUGAGAUACGGCCCAGACGCCUACGGGAGGCAGCAGUGGGGAAUAUUGCACAAUGGGCGCAAGCCGGAUGCAGCGACGCCGCGUGGGGGAUGACGGCCUUCGGGUUGGAAACUCCUUUCGCCAGGGACGAAGCGUUUUGUGACGGUACCUGGAGAAGAAGCACCGGCUAACUACGUG
RNAcentral lists this ribosomal RNA (463 nucleotides) under uncultured bacterium. RNAcentral's name for it is "partial 16S ribosomal RNA". It matches the Rfam family "Bacterial small subunit ribosomal RNA", at positions 28 to 507 of the family's 1533-position model. The record is from RNAcentral.